AGAGAAGAUUUUCAGCCUGAUACAGAUUANCCCAUGCCGAACUCAGAAGUGAAACGCCGUAGCGCCGAUGGUAGUGUGGGGUCUCCCCAUGCGAGAGUAGGGAACUGCCAGGCA
This 114-nucleotide ribosomal RNA is filed under the name Escherichia coli. The record is from RNAcentral. Lineage: Bacteria; Pseudomonadati; Pseudomonadota; Gammaproteobacteria; Enterobacterales; Enterobacteriaceae.